GGCCUGAUGGUCUAGUGGUAUGAUUCCUGCUUUGGGUUCACAUCUAAAAUGCAGGAGGCCCCGUGUUCGAAUCACGGUCAGGCCC
This 85-nucleotide transfer RNA is filed under the name Corynespora cassiicola Philippines. RNAcentral's name for it is "tRNA-Pro". It matches the Rfam family "tRNA". From Rfam's summary of the family: Transfer RNA (tRNA) molecules are approximately 80 nucleotides in length. Their secondary structure includes four short double-helical elements and three loops (D, anti-codon, and T loops). The record is from RNAcentral. Lineage: Eukaryota; Fungi; Ascomycota; Dothideomycetes; Pleosporales; Corynesporascaceae.